AGAUCAUUUUAAAGGGGGCUUGUGGGGCUGGGAAACCAGGAACUCUAAAACUGUGACCAAAGACUGAAGUUCUGCACAGGAAGCCACAGAACUCCGCAGUGCUGUUUUCCGGUUCCUUCCUAGGCAUAGGC
Ursus americanus (American black bear) is the source of this 131-nucleotide small nucleolar RNA. NCBI's taxonomy places the organism in Eukaryota, Metazoa, Chordata, Mammalia, Carnivora, Ursidae. The record is from Ensembl.